Molecule: ribosomal RNA, 1509 nt
Filed under: Helicobacter pylori
Lineage: Bacteria; Pseudomonadati; Campylobacterota; Epsilonproteobacteria; Campylobacterales; Helicobacteraceae
Description: bacterial SSU rRNA
Rfam family: Bacterial small subunit ribosomal RNA
Source: RNAcentral
UUUAUGGAGAGUUUGAUCCUGGCUCAGAGUGAACGCUGGCGGCGUGCCUAAUACAUGCAAGUCGAACGAUGAAGCUUCUAGCUUGCUAGAAUGCUGAUUAGUGGCGCACGGGUGAGUAGUGCAUAGGUUAUGUGCCUCUUAGUUUGGGAUAGCCAUUGGAAACGAUGAUUAAUACCAGAUACUCCCUACGGGGGAAAGAUUUAUCGCUAAGAGAUCAGCCUAUGUCCUAUCAGCUUGUUGGUAAGGUAAUGGCUUACCAAGGCUAUGACGGGUAUCCGGCCUGAGAGGGUGAACGGACACACUGGAACUGAGACACGGUCCAGACUCCUACGGGAGGCAGCAGUAGGGAAUAUUGCUCAAUGGGGGAAACCCUGAAGCAGCAACGCCGCGUGGAGGAUGAAGGUUUUAGGAUUGUAAACUCCUUUUGUUAGAGAAGAUAAUGACGGUAUCUAACGAAUAAGCACCGGCUAACUCCGUGCCAGCAGCCGCGGUAAUACGGAGGGUGCAAGCGUUACUCGGAAUCACUGGGCGUAAAGAGCGCGUAGGCGGGAUAGUCAGUCAGGUGUGAAAUCCUAUGGCUUAACCAUAGAACUGCAUUUGAAACUACUAUUCUAGAGUGUGGGAGAGGUAGGUGGAAUUCUUGGUGUAGGGGUAAAAUCCGUAGAGAUCAAGAGGAAUACUCAUUGCGAAGGCGACCUGCUGGAACAUUACUGACGCUGAUUGCGCGAAAGCGUGGGGAGCAAACAGGAUUAGAUACCCUGGUAGUCCACGCCCUAAACGAUGGAUGCUAGUUGUUGGAGGGCUUAGUCUCUCCAGUAAUGCAGCUAACGCAUUAAGCAUCCCGCCUGGGGAGUACGGUCGCAAGAUUAAAACUCAAAGGAAUAGACGGGGACCCGCACAAGCGGUGGAGCAUGUGGUUUAAUUCGAAGAUACACGAAGAACCUUACCUAGGCUUGACAUUGAGAGAAUCCGCUAGAAAUAGUGGAGUGUCUGGCUUGCCAGACCUUGAAAACAGGUGCUGCACGGCUGUCGUCAGCUCGUGUCGUGAGAUGUUGGGUUAAGUCCCGCAACGAGCGCAACCCCCUUUCUUAGUUGCUAACAGGUUAUGCUGAGAACUCUAAGGAUACUGCCUCCGUAAGGAGGAGGAAGGUGGGGACGACGUCAAGUCAUCAUGGCCCUUACGCCUAGGGCUACACACGUGCUACAAUGGGGUGCACAAAGAGAAGCAAUACUGCGAAGUGGAGCCAAUCUUCAAAACACCUCUCAGUUCGGAUUGUAGGCUGCAACUCGCCUGCAUGAAGCUGGAAUCGCUAGUAAUCGCAAAUCAGCCAUGUUGCGGUGAAUACGUUCCCGGGUCUUGUACUCACCGCCCGUCACACCAUGGGAGUUGUGUUUGCCUUAAGUCAGGAUGCUAAAUUGGCUACUGCCCACGGCACACACAGCGACUGGGGUGAAGUCGUAACAAGGUAACCGUAGGUGAACCUGCGGUUGGAUCACCUCCUUUCUAGA